RNAcentral lists this ribosomal RNA (265 nucleotides) under uncultured bacterium. RNAcentral's name for it is "partial 16S ribosomal RNA". It matches the Rfam family "Bacterial small subunit ribosomal RNA", at positions 793 to 1055 of the family's 1533-position model. The record is from RNAcentral.
GUCCACACGGUAAACGAUGAAUGCUAGGUGUAGGAGGUAUCGACCCCUUCUGUGCCGCAGUUAACACAAUAAGCAUUCCGCCUGGGGAGUACGGUCGCAAGAUUAAAAACUCAAAGGAAUUGACGGGGGGCCCGCACAAGCAGCGGAGCAUGUGGUUUAAUUCGACGCAACGCGAAGAACCUUACCAGGUCUUGACAUCCAGUUAAAGCUGUUGAAAGAUAGUGUCCCUUCGGGGGAACUGAGACAGGUGGUGCAUGGUUGUCGU